RNAcentral lists this ribosomal RNA (414 nucleotides) under Acidobacteria bacterium Ellin7185. RNAcentral's name for it is "bacterial SSU rRNA". It matches the Rfam family "Bacterial small subunit ribosomal RNA", at positions 32 to 456 of the family's 1533-position model. Lineage: Bacteria; Pseudomonadati; Acidobacteriota. The record is from RNAcentral.
AAUCAACGCUGGCGGCGUGCCUAACACAUGCAAGUCGAACGAGAAAGUGGAGCAAUCCAUGAGUAAAGUGGCGACCGGGUGAGUAACACGUGACUAACCUACCUUCGAGUGGGGGAUAACCUCGGGAAACCGGGGCUAAUACCGCAUAAUGCCUUCGGGUUAAAGGAGCAAUUCGCUUGAAGAGGGGGUCGCGGCUGAUUAGUUAGUUGGCGGGGUAACGGCCCACCAAGACGAUGAUCGGUAGCCGGCCUGAGAGGGCGCACGGCCACACUGGAACUGAAACACGGUCCAGACUCCUACGGGAGGCAGCAGUGGGGAAUUUUGCGCAAUGGGGGAAACCCUGACGCAGCAACGCCGCGUGGAGGAUGAAGUCCCUUGGGACGUAAACUCCUUUCGACCGGGACGAUUAUGACG